This 465-nucleotide ribosomal RNA is filed under the name Vreelandella stevensii. Its description in RNAcentral is "partial 16S ribosomal RNA". It matches the Rfam family "Bacterial small subunit ribosomal RNA", at positions 338 to 795 of the family's 1533-position model. Lineage: Bacteria; Pseudomonadati; Pseudomonadota; Gammaproteobacteria; Oceanospirillales; Halomonadaceae. The record is from RNAcentral.
UCUACGCGCGGCAGCAGUGGGGAAUAUUGGACAAUGGGCGAAAGCCUGAUCCAGCCAUGCCGCGUGUGUGAAGAAGGCCUUCGGGUUGUAAAGCACUUUCAGUGGGGAAGAAAGCCUUGGGGCUAAUACCCUCGAGGAAGGACAUCACCCACAGAAGAAGCACCGGCUAACUCCGUGCCAGCAGCCGCGGUAAUACGGAGGGUGCGAGCGUUAAUCGGAAUUACUGGGCGUAAAGCGCGCGUAGGCGGUCUGAUAAGCCGGUUGUGAAAGCCCCGGGCUCAACCUGGGAACGGCAUCCGGAACUGUCAGGCUAGAGUGCAGGAGAGGAAGGUAGAAUUCCCGGUGUAGCGGUGAAAUGCGUAGAGAUCGGGAGGAAUACCAGUGGCGAAGGCGGCCUUCUGGACUGACACUGACGCUGAGGUGCGAAAGCGUGGGUAGCAAACAGGAUUAGAUACCCGAGUAGUC